GGGAAUUAGCUCAGCUGGGAGAGCGCGGGCUUUGCAAGCCUGAGGUCAGGGGUUCGAUUCCCCUAUUCUCC
Molecule: transfer RNA, 71 nt
Filed under: Slackia isoflavoniconvertens
Lineage: Bacteria; Bacillati; Actinomycetota; Coriobacteriia; Eggerthellales; Eggerthellaceae
Rfam family: tRNA
About the family: Transfer RNA (tRNA) molecules are approximately 80 nucleotides in length. Their secondary structure includes four short double-helical elements and three loops (D, anti-codon, and T loops).
Source: RNAcentral